UACGGGGGGGGUAAGCGUUGUUCGGAAUUACUGGGCGUAAAGGGCUCGUAGGCGGCCAACUAAGUCAGACGUGAAAUCCCCAAGCUUAACUUGGGAACUGCGUCUGAUACUGGAUGGCUUGAAUUCGGGAGAGGGAUGCAGAAUUCCAGGUGUAGCGGUGAAAUGCGUAGAUAUCUGGAGGAAUACCGGUGGCGAAGGCGGCAUCCUGGACCGACAUUGACGCUGAGGAGCGAAAGCCAGGGGAGCAAACGGG
This 253-nucleotide ribosomal RNA is filed under the name uncultured bacterium. RNAcentral's name for it is "partial 16S ribosomal RNA". It matches the Rfam family "Bacterial small subunit ribosomal RNA", at positions 524 to 776 of the family's 1533-position model. The record is from RNAcentral.